AAAACAAUAGAUUCACUAAUACUUAAGAGUUUAUUCAUACUUUUAUUAAGUAUAACAUAAGAUUUUGUGAUAUCCACUAGUGUAAAUAUUUUAAAUUGAAGAUCGAAUUCAAUCAUUGUAUUCAUAUAGGGUCAAGGAGUGUGGUUGUAAAAAAUCAUCAAAAUCGGAGUUAAAAUGACCGUUAAAUCGUGAUUUUUCGUUUAUAACCGUCGAAAAGUUUUGUCCCGUUACUUGCUCUCUGAAUGUUAUCUCGAAGUAUAUACAAACAUGUUUGAUGGUUGGAUCGUUGAAAUUAGUUUCGUAUAUUUCGUAUCCCAUGAAGUUCAAUGGUGUGUGUGUGUGUAUAUAUAUAUAUAUAUUUAUUAAGUAGAUUUAAAUCUAUUUAUUUUGUAUGUAUAAUUAUUAUAGUUUUUAGGGGUAUAAAAUUUAAUAUCUAUAUA
This 440-nucleotide long non-coding RNA is filed under the name Malus domestica (apple). Its description in RNAcentral is "long non-coding RNA (MDOM_LNC015895)". Lineage: Eukaryota; Viridiplantae; Streptophyta; Magnoliopsida; Rosales; Rosaceae. The record is from RNAcentral.